RNAcentral lists this ribosomal RNA (497 nucleotides) under uncultured bacterium. Its description in RNAcentral is "partial 16S ribosomal RNA". It matches the Rfam family "Bacterial small subunit ribosomal RNA", at positions 28 to 507 of the family's 1533-position model. The record is from RNAcentral.
GAUGAACGCUGGCGGCGUGCCUAAUACAUGCAAGUCGAGCGAACAGACGAGGAGCUUGCUCCUCUGACGUUAGCGGCGGACGGGUGAGUAACACGUGGAUAACCUACCUAUAAGACUGGGAUAACUUCGGGAAACCGGAGCUAAUACCGGAUAAUAUAUUGAACCGCAUGGUUCAAUAGUGAAAGACGGUUUUGCUGUCACUUAUAGAUGGAUCCGCGCCGCAUUAGCUAGUUGGUAAGGUAACGGCUUACCAAGGCAACGAUGCGUAGCCGACCUGAGAGGGUGAUCGGCCACACUGGAACUGAGACACGGUCCAGACUCCUACGGGAGGCAGCAGUAGGGAAUCUUCCGCAAUGGGCGAAAGCCUGACGGAGCAACGCCGCGUGAGUUAUGAAGGUCUUCGGAUCGUAAAACUCUGUUAUUAGGGAAGAACAAAUGUGUAAGGAACUAUGCACGUCUUUACGGUACCUAAUCAGAAAGGCACGGCUAACUACGUG